Molecule: small nucleolar RNA, 138 nt
Organism: Ornithorhynchus anatinus (platypus)
Lineage: Eukaryota; Metazoa; Chordata; Mammalia; Monotremata; Ornithorhynchidae
Source: RefSeq, a predicted model, not a curated record
CCCUUCUCAGGAUCGCACCUGGAGAGUUUCUGGUACUCUACCAUUCUCGACUAUGAGAGGGAGAGUCAAGUAGAGGCAUACCCAUUCCAUUCCUAGCUUAACCAGGGGAUAGCAAGUGGAAGACAUUCUGCUACAAGU